CUCUCGUUCUUCGACUUCGUCGUUCCCUUCCCCUUUCCCUUUUCCUUUUCCCUUUUCCCUUUCACAGGUCAACACCAUCGGUACCGGCACCACCACCGACUCGCCGGAAUCCACAGGUAAGUAUCCUUAUCUAUAUCCCUCUCUUUGCUCGGAACACUGUUCCGGCAAAGAUUCGCACUGGUUUCGGUGUUUUUUCCUUCGACACCUCCUUCACCACCGUGACGCUCAGCGUCAGGCGCGCAACC
Molecule: long non-coding RNA, 245 nt
Filed under: Nicotiana benthamiana
Lineage: Eukaryota; Viridiplantae; Streptophyta; Magnoliopsida; Solanales; Solanaceae
Description: long non-coding RNA (NBEN_LNC021984)
Source: RNAcentral